UGAAGCCGGGCACUUUUCAGUAACCGUGAUCAAUUUUAAUUUCUUAUUUUCACUGUUUUUCAACAAUAUUAGGAGCUAUUUACGGUGGGCGACAAAUUUUAGGAACAUCUUAAUCAAUAUAAAAUUGAUAUCGGCGUGGAUUUUCGUGUUUAAAUACCUAAAUACAGUGUCAUGGAGAUAGUCGUUUUAUGGGCUGCUGCGGAAGAAAAUGUCUUCAGAAUCUUGAGCAAAUCGAUUGCAGGAUACUUCGAGAGAAAAGCCAGUAUAUACUUCUCACAGGUACAUCUAUUUAUAACAUUAUUUCUGACAAGUGGCUCAAUGUUUACAGAGGAAAAGUUGCUGAACUUACUAGAAGCGAUUUUUGAUCAUUUCAUACUUAUCUAUUUUGUUUUGUUUCAGAGAGUAGCUACAUUAAUAAUUUUAGAUUAUCAAAAGAUGCAUUUCGGACUUUGUAUCAUGACUUAGGACCAUAUCUGGAGUUCCAAUGCUCUACAACUGUGCAAUCGACUUUAAGUGACAAAUGCCCUCAAUCAGCCUGCAAUCGUGAGAUAAUAUAUCAAGUUUCCUCGGACAAAAACUGAGCAUGUAGAAUUCUCCAGAGGUUUUAAUGACAAAUUUGGAUUUCUUGGAGUACUUGGAUGCAUCCACGGCACACACAUUGCCAUUAUCCAACCUCACAAGUGGGAAGAGGCCUUCUUCAAUAGCAAGUAUUACCAUUCAUUGCAUGUUAUGUUGGUUUGUGAUGGAGAUAUGUGCAUUACAUUUGUGAUGCAUCCAAUGGGAGUGUUAGUGCUAGACUGCUAGCCAAGAUAACCAUAUUUGGAACAACAGCACUUUGAGAAGGGAAAAGGAACAUCUCCUUAAUUUAAAUAUUAAGU
Molecule: long non-coding RNA, 878 nt
Organism: Pectinophora gossypiella (pink bollworm)
Lineage: Eukaryota; Metazoa; Arthropoda; Insecta; Lepidoptera; Gelechiidae
Exons: 3
Source: RefSeq, a predicted model, not a curated record